CGCGGCCGUGGCGGAGGCGGGGGACGCGGCGCUGCUCCGUACGGCGCGGGAGCAGGGCGUCGACACGGCCCUGCUGGUCGCGUCGGCGGGCUCGA
RNAcentral lists this transfer RNA (95 nucleotides) under Streptomyces griseus. Its description in RNAcentral is "tRNA-Arg(ccg)". The record is from RNAcentral. Lineage: Bacteria; Bacillati; Actinomycetota; Actinomycetes; Kitasatosporales; Streptomycetaceae.